ACUAGUGUCCUUAUAAGUAGAGGAAGGGACACCAGGGGUGUGACCAUGCAUAGAAAAAGCCAUGUGAGGACACAGUGAGAAGGCGGCCAUCUGCAAGCCAUGGAGAGAAGCCUCAGGAGAAACCAAUCCUGUCAACACCUUGAUCUUGGACUUCCAGACUCCAGAACUGUAGCUCAUUUUCCUUACAGUUUGAAGAGGGGAAAAAGCUAAGCAGAUGGCCUGGUGACACAAAGGACUGCAGCCUACUGUUUCUAGAGCUUGUAAAAAUGGAACCCCACGCUGCCAGCUUGGCCGAACUUCAAACGAGUCCCACGAAGAGCGUAACUUGCUCAAGAGGGGGCAGGGACUUGGUGUGAAGCUCUUGAAAGUGCAAAGAACAUUAUCAUUACAUUCAGGGCAGCUUGACCCAGCGCUGGGGUCUGGCCUGAGACCGAAUGGGAAGCUGGUGUCAGAAAACUGCAGUCAGACAGCGCGCUCCAUGGAAGGACUCCAGGGUCGGAAGCAUUUGAAACCCCCGACCCCAGAAUAACGACAAAUUGCCAACAGAUGGCGUGAGUCACGGAAGCGGAGUCUGAGUGAAGCAUCUGCAAACUCACGGCCAAGGUCCUGCCCUGCUGGGCUGAGCGGGCAGACGCAAGUCCCAGCCCAGAUGGCCACGGAGGUCACCAGGAGAGACACCAGCCGUAACACGCUCCACUCCCAAGAGCUCACAGCCUGUAAAGCCCACAGAGGCUUCCCAGGAUCAAACAAACCAAAAUAUCCUGGCCAGGAAGGGCUGUGCAUCUGAGCUCAGCAUGGAAUAAUCCCUUUGCUGUGUUGUCAGCCAGUCUGACUGAAGUUCAUUUCAUCUUCAUUCCCCAAUUAGUUUUCGCUGAUGUUAUGAAUCAUAGAAUAUUCAUCCCCAGUUGUGAAAGGCCACUAUGAAAAUUCAAGGUCCAAGUAUUUCUGUUCCACCCUGUUAUCAAUGGUGUUGGUUUAGGCUCUGGAGUCUAACUGGGAUCCAUUCUUCCCUGAUAAAAUGAUCCUAAUCAGGAUCUGUCUGAGGAAUCCUCACCCACCCCAAUCCAAAAAGAGCAUGUGAAAAAUCUACCUUAAGAGAAAAGAAGAUCCUGCAAGGUGACACUGGUUGGAUGAAUUCUUUUUUUCCCUUCCUACUAUAUUUCUCCAGCAAUAAACUUUAUUAUUUCCCCCCCCCCCCCAUACAAAGACAAAACCUCCAGGUCAGUGCUCAGUUAAUUUUUCUUCUCUUUUGAGACAAAGUUCCUGAAAGGUAUCAGAUGCUCCCAACCAAGUGGGAAAAUCUCAAGGAUUUUCUCUUUUCUUUGGGAAACCCCCUUAGGAUACUUAUUUGAUUAUCACUAAUCACUCUAAUCUACCUUUGAAAGAAGACAAUUGACAAACAACAGGAAUAGACCACAUGCAGUCUUCCAGAGCCUAAUUACUUUUUCUUCUUUUAUGAGUGAGGACAAUGUGUGAAGAGAUCAUAAAAAGAAAAAUUUUAGACAGAUACACCAGAAAUACAGCUACACGUGGAACAACUCCUACAGAACACCUACUGAACGCUGGCAGA
This is a long non-coding RNA of Mesoplodon densirostris (Blainville's beaked whale), 1570 nucleotides long. RefSeq lists it as uncharacterized. The record is from RefSeq and is a predicted model, not a curated record. The transcript is spliced from 3 exons. Lineage: Eukaryota; Metazoa; Chordata; Mammalia; Artiodactyla; Ziphiidae.